GAAUGAGAUGAUGAGUGUUAUACAAAUUUGAUAGCUGAUAUGAUGGCAUAUUAUCAUGUAUUAGCUCUAGCUGAUCAUUC
Non-coding RNA from Solanum lycopersicum (tomato), 80 nucleotides. NCBI's taxonomy places the organism in Eukaryota, Viridiplantae, Streptophyta, Magnoliopsida, Solanales, Solanaceae. The record is from Rfam.